ACAGUUCAAGAGCUUCAUGAUCUAACGAGGUAAUUUGCCCCCUCUGCGUUAUGCAUCCUUAAAACCCAAAUAGAGGGCUCUAGAGUAGAGAGUAUGGCUGUUUCUUUAGGAUAUAAUAAGAGUUUUGCUGUGAGUAGCUCGGGGAGAAGUGGUGGCUUAGGCAUUUUUUGGAACGAUGAAAUAAAGCUUGAAGUUGUUGGUUACUCUCGCUAUCAUAUUGAUGCUAUGAUUGAUGAACUUGUAGAUGCCAGAAUGAGAGUGACCUUUGUCUACGGAGAAGCUCAAGUAAAUGAACGAUACAAAACAUGGGAUAUGAUCCAAGGAAUAGUAGGUGCAAAUGAUAUACCUUGA
RNAcentral lists this ribosomal RNA (351 nucleotides) under Triticum aestivum (bread wheat). RNAcentral's name for it is "partial small subunit ribosomal RNA". The record is from RNAcentral. Lineage: Eukaryota; Viridiplantae; Streptophyta; Magnoliopsida; Poales; Poaceae.